GCUAACUACUUGUCUAAAUGUUCAAAAGCUCCAGUAAAUAUGCAAAUUAGUUGGAAGAAAAGUUCUUGAUGGAGCUGGUCAGCCAAUAUUAGAAGUGGAAAUAUACUGUACAGUUAAAAAAAUAUGAGAAGGUCCUUAUGUCUCUCUUUGUGUAACACUCUUGCAGGAAAAUUCAGUACAGGUUUUUUCCAGAGGAUUUGUUCCACUGUAAUGGCUACUCAUUCUCAAAAAACUGAAAAUGCUUUACCUGAAAAAUCUAAACUGAUGAGAAAGAAAGAAAUUUCUGUGUUCGUUCUGCUGUGGAAUGGGUCAGUGAAUCAGUGA
This 324-nucleotide long non-coding RNA is filed under the name Cyanistes caeruleus (blue tit). RNAcentral's name for it is "lncRNA (ENSCCEG00000013549.1)". The record is from RNAcentral. Lineage: Eukaryota; Metazoa; Chordata; Aves; Passeriformes; Paridae.